This 429-nucleotide small RNA is filed under the name Arabidopsis thaliana (thale cress). RNAcentral describes it as "ATSL243370". The record is from RNAcentral. Lineage: Eukaryota; Viridiplantae; Streptophyta; Magnoliopsida; Brassicales; Brassicaceae.
GUUAAUAAUUUGGUAACAUAUAGAUAUUUGAAUAUUUAGUAUAUUUUGCUUAAGUUUAGGAAAUCUUUGAUGACCCGUCUUUAGAUCCAAUAAGCUCUAUAAUCUAGAUAUUAACCUGCAGUAUACCGCAAGUAUGCUUAUAUUUUAGUUAAACUGAAAACUUUUAUUGUAAAGAUGAUUAAAAAAUAUACGAUAUUGUUUUAUUUGAUUUAAAUGUAUAGUAAACUGUGAGUUGUAUAUGUUUUGUUGAUAUUAUUUAUAUUGUUAAGUGUUUAAGAUUAUACAUUUGUAGUUUGAUUGUUAAUUUAAGAGUUUCACCUGUAGUAUACCAUCUUGUAUUAAUAUCGAGUUAAACCCGUCAAUUCUAGGAUUUUCCAGCUUGUAUUAAAAAUUGAAUCACAUCUAAUAUGUUAUUAAUUAUUCUAAUAU